GAGGGGCUGGCAGAAGGGUAAUGCGUAGCUCUCCUACUUUCAUUUGCUGCGAGUAGUAAGCUAAGCUAAGAUUGUGGGUUCGAGUCCCACGUCCCUCG
Transfer RNA from Trichophyton interdigitale MR816, 98 nucleotides. It matches the Rfam family "tRNA". From Rfam's summary of the family: Transfer RNA (tRNA) molecules are approximately 80 nucleotides in length. Their secondary structure includes four short double-helical elements and three loops (D, anti-codon, and T loops). Further hydrogen bonds mediate the characteristic L-shaped molecular structure. tRNAs have two regions of fundamental functional importance: the anti-codon, which is responsible for specific mRNA codon recognition, and the 3' end, to which the tRNAs corresponding amino acid is attached (by aminoacyl-tRNA synthetases). tRNAs cope with the degeneracy of the genetic code in two manners: having more than one tRNA (with a specific anti-codon) for a particular amino acid; and 'wobble' base-pairing, i.e. permitting non-standard base-pairing at the 3rd anti-codon position. The record is from Rfam. Lineage: Eukaryota; Fungi; Ascomycota; Eurotiomycetes; Onygenales; Arthrodermataceae.